AAUUAAGCAUAUCAAUAAGCGGAGGAAAAGAAACCAACAGGGAUUGCCUCAGUAACGGCGAGUGAAGCGGCAACAGCUCAAAUUUGAAAUCUGGCCUCUGUCGGGGUCCGAGUUGUAAUUUGCAGAGGAUGUUUCGGGUUCGGCUGCGGUCUAAGUUCCUUGGAACAGGACGUCAUGGAGGGUGAGAAUCCCGUGUGGGACCGCCGGCCACGCCCAUGUGAAACGCCUUCGACGAGUCGAGUUGUUUGGGAAUGCAGCUCAAAACGGGUGGUAAAUUUCAUCUAAAGCUAAAUACCGGCCAGAGACCGAUAGCGCACAAGUAGAGUGAUCGAAAGAUGAAAAGCACUUUGGAAAGAGAGUUAAAAAGCAUGUGAAAUUGUUGAAAGGGAAGCGCUUGCAACCAGACUUGGCCCCGGGUGCUCAGGCGGCGUUUUCGCCGGUGCACUCGCCCGGGAACAGGCCAGCAUCGGUUCAGGCGGCCGGACAAAGGCCCCCGGAACGUAGCUUCCUUCGGGGAGUGUUAUAGCCGGGGGUGCAAUGCGGCCCGCCCGGACCGAGGAUCGCGCUCGGCACGAUGCG
Molecule: ribosomal RNA, 579 nt
Filed under: Chaenothecopsis sitchensis
Lineage: Eukaryota; Fungi; Ascomycota; Eurotiomycetes; Mycocaliciales; Mycocaliciaceae
Description: eukaryotic LSU rRNA
Rfam family: Eukaryotic large subunit ribosomal RNA
Source: RNAcentral